UUUAUGAUCCUCGGCCCGUCACCGUCGCUUACAGUUUCGGUCGUUCGCUGCUAGAAAGAGGAGGUGGUCAUUGGUUUGGUUUUCCGGUUCCUGAAGAAGCUACGUCGGGGUGCCUUCGCGAGGAAACUCUACAGCUGAGGUGGUGCUUCCUUGGUCGCUCGUAGACGUAUACUGCAUACAGCCAUGGCGGCGUCCCAGGCGCAACUGGACAAGAUGACGCAACGCCAGAAUUACCGGAAUCUCUGGCACACUGAUCUCGUGGGCACUAUUCAAGCUGAUACUCCUUAUUGCUGCUUUGCAUUCUGGUGUGGACCAUGUGCAUCAUAUAUGCUCCGGAAAAGAGCUCUUUAUAAUGAUAUGUCCAGGUAUGUAUGCUGUGCUGGUUAUAUGCCAUGUAGUGGUAGGUGUGGGGAAAGCCAAUGCCCUGAAUUUUGUCUCUGCACUGAGGUUUUCCUCUGCUUUGCGAAUUCAGUAGCAUCAACUCGCUUUCUGUUGCAAGAUCAAUUCAACAUACAGACAACACAGUGUGACAACUGCAUUAUUGGAUUUAUGUUCUGCCUCCAACAAGUGGCGUGCAUAUUCUCCAUUGUUGCAAUGAUUGUUGGAAGUGAGGAUCUUUCAGAGGCUUCUCAGAUACUGAACUGUUUGUCUGACAUGGUUUAUUGCACGGUUUGUGCAUGUAUGCAGACGCAACACAAGAUUGAAAUGGACAAAAGGGAUGUGAAUUUUGGGCCACAGGUGAUGGCUGUUCCACCCAUUCAGUAUAUGUCCCGCAUUGAUCAGCCCAUUCCUCCUCCAGUUGGAUAUCCUCCACAACCAGCAUAUGGACAGGCAUAUGGUUAUCCACAACCUCCUCAGUCUCAAGGUUAUCCUCCUGCUGGUUAUCCCCCUCCUGGUCCUGGGUAUCCUCCCGCAGGUUAUCAGAGAUGAUUGUUGCCACGAUGGAUGCUGGACCCCAAUUAGAGUUGGUUCUUGAGUUUUGAUAACUGCACGUGGCAAUUACAUUAUCCUUCAAAUGUGGGUUUUAUAUCUUUAAGGUGGGAAACGGGAUAGGAGUCAAAACAACGAUCAGGGUGGAUCUGGAUACUUAUUUGUCCCACUUAAAAUAUUCUAGCUGCUUACGUAAUGUUCAUUUACCUUUUUGUGUAUUUUGUGCUCCAAGAGUCCAAAUGAACUUUCGCACAUUUGACUUGUAAAGCGAGGAGCAUAAUUGAUCAAAUGACUCAAAUGAAGAGAACUUUUUGGGUAA
RNA transcript from Nelumbo nucifera (sacred lotus), 1249 nucleotides. RefSeq lists it as uncharacterized. The record is from RefSeq and is a predicted model, not a curated record. NCBI's taxonomy places the organism in Eukaryota, Viridiplantae, Streptophyta, Magnoliopsida, Proteales, Nelumbonaceae.